Molecule: small RNA, 363 nt
Filed under: Priestia megaterium
Lineage: Bacteria; Bacillati; Bacillota; Bacilli; Caryophanales; Bacillaceae
Description: cspA
Rfam family: cspA thermoregulator
Source: RNAcentral
AUGUAAGAGAAUUAUUUUUGUUCGGUGGGGAUGUAUGAGUAUUGUCACUUUUCGUCUUUAGAUUUGAGCAAGAAUAGUACCACAAUGUGCGAGUCCGCACGAGGAGGCAACAAUUAUGGAACAAGGUAAAGUAAAAUGGUUUAACGCAGAAAAAGGUUUUGGAUUCAUCGAGCGCGAAGGUGGAGACGAUGUAUUCGUACACUUCUCAGCAAUCCAAAGCGAAGGCUUCAAAUCUUUAGACGAAGGUCAAGCUGUAACAUUUGACGUAGAACAAGGUCAACGCGGACCUCAAGCUGCUAACGUUCAAAAAGCAUAAGAAACACAACAUAUCAGAAACAGAUCCUUUAAAGGAUCUGUUUUUUU